Molecule: ribosomal RNA, 497 nt
Filed under: uncultured bacterium
Lineage: Bacteria
Description: partial 16S ribosomal RNA
Rfam family: Bacterial small subunit ribosomal RNA
Source: RNAcentral
GAUGAACGCUGGCGGCGUGCCUAAUACAUGCGAGUCGAGCGAACAGACGAGGAGCUUGCUCCUCUGACGUUAGCGGCGGACGGGUGAGUAACACGUGGAUAACCUACCUAUAAGACUGGGAUAACUUCGGGAAACCGGAGCUAAUACCGGAUAAUAUAUUGAACCGCAUGGUUCAAUAGUGAAAGACGGUUUUGCUGUCACUUAUAGAUGGAUCCGCGCCGCAUUAGCUAGUUGGUAAGGUAACGGCUUACCAAGGCAACGAUGCGUAGCCGACCUGAGAGGGUGAUCGGCCACACUGGAACUGAGACACGGUCCAGACUCCUACGGGAGGCAGCAGUAGGGAAUCUUCCGUAAUGGGCGAAAGCCUGACGGAGCAACGCCGCGUGAGUGAUGAAGGUCUUCGGAUCGUAAAACUCUGUUAUUAGGGAAGAACAAAUGUGUAAGUAACUAUGCACGUCUUGACGGUACCUAAUCAGAAAGCCACGGCUAACUACGUG